RNAcentral lists this transfer RNA (73 nucleotides) under Ailuropoda melanoleuca (giant panda). It matches the Rfam family "tRNA". From Rfam's summary of the family: Transfer RNA (tRNA) molecules are approximately 80 nucleotides in length. The record is from Rfam by way of RNAcentral. Lineage: Eukaryota; Metazoa; Chordata; Mammalia; Carnivora; Ursidae.
GCCUGGUUGGCUCAGCUGGUGGAGCAUGUGACUCUUGAUCUCAGGUCUGUGGGCUCGAGCCCCACACUGGGUG